CCUACGGGAGGCAGCAGUGAGGAAUAUUGGUCAAUGGACGAGAGUCUGAACCAGCCAAGUAGCGUGAAGGAUGACUGCCCUAUGGGUUGUAAACUUCUUUUAUAAAGGAAUAAAACGAGGCACGUGUGCCUUUUUGCAUGUACUUUAUGAAUAAGGAUCGGCUAACUCCGUGCCAGCAGCCGCGGUAAUACGGAGGAUCCGAGCGUUAUCCGGAUUUAUUGGGGUUAAAGGGAGCGUAGAUGGGUUGUUAAGUCAGUUGUGAAAGUUUGCGGCUCAAACGUAAAAUUGCAAUUGAUACUGGCAGUCGUGAGUACAGUUGAGGUAGGCGGAAUUCGUGGUGUAGCGGUGAAAUGCUUAGAUAUCACGAAGAACCCCGAUUGCGAAGGCAGCUUACUAAACUGUGACUGACAUUGAUGCUCGAAAGUGUGGGUAUCAAACAGGAUUAGAUACCCGAGUAGUC
RNAcentral lists this ribosomal RNA (460 nucleotides) under uncultured bacterium. RNAcentral's name for it is "partial 16S ribosomal RNA". It matches the Rfam family "Bacterial small subunit ribosomal RNA", at positions 338 to 795 of the family's 1533-position model. The record is from RNAcentral.